CGGGGAAUAUUGCACAAUGGGCGCAAGCCUGAUGCAGCGACGCCGCGUGAGGGAUGACGGCCUUCGGGUUGUAAACCUCUUUCAAUAGGGACGAAGCGCAAGUGACGGUACCUAUAGAAGAAGGACCGGCCAACUACGUGCCAGCAGCCGCGGUAAUACGUAGGGUCCGAGCGUUGUCCGGAAUUACUGGGCGUAAAGAGCUCGUAGGUGGUUUGUCGCGUUGUUCGUGAAAACUCACAGCUUAACUGUGGGCGUGCGGGCGAUACGGGCAGACUAGAGUACUGCAGGGGAGACUGGAAUUCCUGGUGUAGCGGUGGAAUGCGCAGAUAUCAGGAGGAACACCGGUGGCGAAGGCGGGUCUCUGGGCAGUAACUGACGCUGAGGAGCGAAAGCGUGGGGAGCGAACAG
Molecule: ribosomal RNA, 408 nt
Filed under: uncultured bacterium
Lineage: Bacteria
Description: bacterial SSU rRNA
Rfam family: Bacterial small subunit ribosomal RNA
Source: RNAcentral